GAGAAAGGAAGUGAGUGAAAUUCAGGCGUGUCUCUGUGAUUUAGGUAUAAAGAGUGCUGAGUGUGUAGUCAGGGUCCAGUACAUCAGUAUGGAGAAAGUUGUGUGGCUACUGGCUCUUCUGUGUCUGCAGGUCUGUCUGCUCUCCACAGAGGCCCAACCUGGAACAGACAGACUGACAGCUGCCCAAACCAACCAAGACAUGGUGUCUGUCAUCUGGCCUCAGGAUUCAAGGAUUAAAAGAGGGGGGAAUAACCAGAGUAAAUGCCAGAAGAAGCCAAACAUAAGAUGUCGCAACCGCAUUGGAGCGAAUGGUGCUUUGGGAGAAGGACCCCCAGGACCCAACAUCAAUAUUAGUAAAAAAUAAUCAGUACAGCUUACAUGGAAAUACGAAUAAAGGCACCAUUUCACUUUUGCCAUAUUGGGGUCAAUCUAAGAAAUGCCACUAUAUGUCAAGUUGAAUAAUAUCACAAAGGGGAUUUUUUUCACUGCUGUUAUAGGAAGUAUCACUGCCUUCUUCUCACAAAUGAUCCAUAACUAUAAAACAAAAUAAAGGUUGGUUGAACUCAAUGGCGGGUCAUUUUGAUCUUAAGACAGUGGGAGGGUUAAAUAUCCUGAUGAAUAUUAAUCAAUGUUUUUGUGCAUGUCAAGUGAAUCUGGAUAUGUAAGUUCAGAAGGUUUGUAACUUCAGAAGUUCAUUUCUCCAUGACUAUUUUGUGACAACUAUAACAAUGCAGUUGUUACAUUGUGUAAUAUCCUGUGUAUAAAAAUUGUUAUGUGAUGAAAGACAAAACAAACUCCUUAUCUGGUUGGAAUGAACAAUUCUGAUGCAAGCCUGGCAACAUUGCACCAUGGUGUUGAUGAAGUCAUUGAUACACACUGCUCAAAUAAAUGAAGGGAGCUCUGAAAUCACACACCGGG
Molecule: long non-coding RNA, 918 nt
Organism: Esox lucius (northern pike)
Lineage: Eukaryota; Metazoa; Chordata; Actinopteri; Esociformes; Esocidae
Source: Ensembl